UGGGCGUAAAGGGCGCGUAGGCGGCCUGGUAAGUCAGAUGUGAAAGCCCGGGGCUCAACCCUGGAAGUGCAUUUGAUACUGCCUGGCUUGAGUAUGGGAGAGGGAAGUGGAAUUCCUGGUGUAGAGGUGAAAUUCGUAGAUAUCAGGAGGAACACCGGUGGCGAAGGCGACUUCCUGGACCAAUACUGACGCUGAGGCGCGAAAGCGUGGGGAGCAAACAGGAUUAGAUACCCUGGUAGUCCACGCCGUAAACGAUGAUCACUAGGUGUAGGGGGUAUUGACCCCUGCUGUGCCGCAGCUAAGGCAUUAAGUGACCCGCCGGGGAAGUACGGCCGCAAGGUUAAAACUCAAAGGAAUUGACGG
Molecule: ribosomal RNA, 363 nt
Filed under: uncultured bacterium
Lineage: Bacteria
Description: bacterial SSU rRNA
Rfam family: Bacterial small subunit ribosomal RNA
Source: RNAcentral